Molecule: ribosomal RNA, 131 nt
Filed under: Nannospalax galili (Upper Galilee mountains blind mole rat)
Lineage: Eukaryota; Metazoa; Chordata; Mammalia; Rodentia; Spalacidae
Source: RNAcentral
GCCUAUGACCACACCAUCCUAAAUGUACUUGAUCUUGGAAAAUAAGCAGGAUUGGGCCUGGUUAGUACUUACAUGGAAGAAGAGCCAAAAACAUUCUAUUUUUUGCUUCAAGAACAGGGUCCUUAUAUAUU